AGCAUACAAGGCAUACGGCUCAGUAACGCGUAGUCAACCUAACCUAUGGACGGGAAUAACCUCGGGAAACUGAGAAUAAUGCCCGAUAGAACAUUAUGCCUGGAAUGGUUUAUGUUCCAAAUGAUUUAUCGCCGUAGGAUGGGACUGCGGCCUAUCAGUUUGUUGGUGAGGUAAUGGCCCACCAAGACUAUUACAGGUACGGGCUCUGAGAGGAGUAGCCCGGAGAUGGGUACUGAGACACGGACCCAGGCCCUAUGGGGCGCAGCAGGCGAGAAAACUUUGCAAUGUGCGAAAGCACGACAAGGUUAAUCCGAGUGGUUUCUGCUAAAGAAACCUUUUGUCAGUCCUAGAAACACUGAUGAAUAAGGGGUGGGCAAGUUCUGGUGUCAGCCGCCGCGGUAAAACCAGCACCUCAGGUGGUCAGGAUGAUUAUUGGGCCUAAAGCAUCCGUAGCCGGCUCUGUAAGUUUUCGGUUAAAUCUGUACGCUCAACGUACAGGCUGCCGGGAAUACUGCAGAGCUAGGGAGUGGGAGAGGUAGACGGUACUCGGUAGGAAGGGGUAAAAUCCUUUGAUCUAUUGAUGACCACCUGUGGCGAAGGCGGUCUACCAGAACACGUCCGACGGUGAGGGAUGAAAGCUGGGGGAGCAAACCGGAUUAGAUACCCGGGUAGUCCCAGCUGUAAACUAUGCAAACUCAGUGAUGCAUUGGCUUGUGGCCAAUGCAGUGCUGCAGGGAAGCCGUUAAGUUUGCCGCCUGGGAAGUACGUACGCAAGUAUGAAACUUAAAGGAAUUGGCGGGGGAGCACCACAAGGGGUGAAGCCUGCGGUUCAAUUGGAGUCAACGCCGGG
Molecule: ribosomal RNA, 850 nt
Filed under: uncultured crenarchaeote
Lineage: Archaea; Thermoproteati; Thermoproteota
Description: bacterial SSU rRNA
Rfam family: Archaeal small subunit ribosomal RNA
Source: RNAcentral